This 305-nucleotide ribosomal RNA is filed under the name uncultured bacterium. RNAcentral describes it as "bacterial SSU rRNA". It matches the Rfam family "Bacterial small subunit ribosomal RNA", at positions 338 to 660 of the family's 1533-position model. The record is from RNAcentral.
CCUACGGGAGGCAGCAGUGGGGAAUAUUGCACAAUGGGGGAAACCCUGAUGCAGCGACGCCGCGUGAGUGAUGAAGUAUUUCGGUAUGUAAAGCUCUAUCAGCAGGGAAGAUAAUGACGGUACCUGACUAAGAAGCUCCGGCUAAAUACGUGCCAGCAGCCGCGGUAAUACGUAUGGAGCAAGCGUUAUCCGGAUUUACUGGGUGUAAAGGGAGCGUAGACGGCUGGUCAAGUCUGAAGUGAAAGCCCGGGGCUUAACCCCGGAACGGCUUUGGAAACCGAGCAGCUAGAGUGCUGGAGAGGUAA